CUGAAAAUAGCUCCACAUCCAACCUGACAGAGCUUAAGAGGAUCUGUAGAGAAGAAAUGUAGGUGUGCCAAUCGUGUAGCAUUAUACCCAAGAAGACUCAAGGCUGUAAUCGCUGCCAAAGUUUCUUCAACAAAGUACUGAGUAAAGGGUCUGAAUACUCAUGUAAAUUUGAUAUUUCCGUUUUUUAUUUUUAAUACAUCUGCAAAAAUGUCCAAAAACCUGUUUUUGCUUCGUCAUUAUGGAGUAUUGUGUGUAAAUUCAUGAGGGGAAUAUUUAAAUUUUAAUUUUUUUUUUUUUUGAAUAAGGCUGUAAAGUAACACAAUGUUGAAAAAGUCAAUUGGUUUGAAUACUUUCCGAAUGCACUGGACAUGUUUAACUUCGAUAGCUGAGCAGUUUGGUGCUUUAUUCCUAUAGGAGAGAUCAGCAGGUUGGUUCUCUAUUCCUAUAGGAGAGAUCAGCAGGUUGGUUCUCUAUUCCUAUAGGAGAGAUCAGCAGUUUGGUUCUCUAUUCUUAUAGGAGAGAUCAGCAGUUUGGUUCUCUAUUCCUAUAGGAGAGAUCAGCAGGUUGGUUCUCUAUUCCUAUAGGAGAGAUCAGUAGUUU
Oncorhynchus tshawytscha (Chinook salmon) is the source of this 600-nucleotide long non-coding RNA. NCBI's taxonomy places the organism in Eukaryota, Metazoa, Chordata, Actinopteri, Salmoniformes, Salmonidae. The record is from Ensembl.